GCUAGGGUGUGGUAACCCACGCCUGUAAUACUAGCUGGCCAGGAGGCUAAUCUCUUGAGUUUGGGAAUUCUGUGAUCCAAUGUUCAGCAUCAAUAUGAUGAGCUCCUAGGAGCAGGGCCACCAGGUUGCCUAAGGAGGGAUGAACCAGCCCAGGUCAGAGAAAGAGCAGGUCAAAAUUCCUGUGCUGAUCAGUAGUGGGGAAGGAAGGAUGGAAGGAAGGAAGGAA
Molecule: signal recognition particle RNA, 226 nt
Filed under: Vombatus ursinus (common wombat)
Lineage: Eukaryota; Metazoa; Chordata; Mammalia; Diprotodontia; Vombatidae
Description: Metazoan signal recognition particle RNA (ENSVURG00010004792.1)
Rfam family: Metazoan signal recognition particle RNA
About the family: The signal recognition particle (SRP) is a universally conserved ribonucleoprotein. It is involved in the co-translational targeting of proteins to membranes.
Source: Rfam by way of RNAcentral